UGGUGUAAGUGAUUAACACACUUGGCUGCUAACCAGAAGGUUGGUGGUUUGAGUCCACC
Molecule: transfer RNA, 59 nt
Filed under: Loxodonta africana (African savanna elephant)
Lineage: Eukaryota; Metazoa; Chordata; Mammalia; Proboscidea; Elephantidae
Rfam family: tRNA
About the family: Transfer RNA (tRNA) molecules are approximately 80 nucleotides in length. Their secondary structure includes four short double-helical elements and three loops (D, anti-codon, and T loops).
Source: Rfam by way of RNAcentral